RNAcentral lists this long non-coding RNA (768 nucleotides) under Vitis vinifera (wine grape). RNAcentral's name for it is "long non-coding RNA (VVIN_LNC004293)". The record is from RNAcentral. Lineage: Eukaryota; Viridiplantae; Streptophyta; Magnoliopsida; Vitales; Vitaceae.
CCGAGUUCACGUUGUCAGGGGCGGCUGCCAUGGCCAGGCAGGUCGUGCUGCCGGCGGUGCUGUGAAUCAGCAGGUUAUCCGGUGGCAGCGUCACGUUCAUGCCCGUGAACAUGAAGGUUAUCGUGGGCGCUGCUAUGGGCACCGUGUAGCAUGUGUCGAAUCCCCCCAGUGACGUUACUGUCAAGUUCCUCCCCACCCUGUUUCUGAACGCGUCUCUCACUGCUAUGUACGCCGGCGUUACGAGCCUCGUGAACACCGUCCCUGGUUCACAACCCUCUUUGUAAUUAUACUUCCAUUCGUUUACAAAACUAAAUCAUUCCUUAAUUCCCUUUCUUCAGUUAUAAUUCAAAAUUUUCAAUUUUAAAUGAAAAUGAUAAGUUCACUAUAGUUAAUUUCUUCGAAUUGUUUUCCGACGGAUAUCACAAAAUAUCAUAUUUAUCGACCGAUAUUAUAUCCGAAAAAGCAAUUCGAUAAAUCUAACUAAAGUACUCGGCAUUACUCACUAUUAAAAUAAAAUGUUUAAAUUUUAAACCAUUAAUUAUGUUAAUUUUUUUUAUCACUUCAUGUGAUAGGUGAUUGUUAAAGGUCUUUUAAUGAUUACCUAUCACAUCAAUGAGAUAUAGAAUAUGAUAAAGUAUGGCAAUAAUGUUAAUAAGUAUUAACAUUAAUACCUAUAUUGUAUAUGCAGUAGUGUUUACAAUUUUUUUAAGUAUGGAGGAAAAUUAACUAGAGAAAUAAAGAUUUUGUGAAUAGAAAAGGUUACCGGAG